Small nuclear RNA from Suricata suricatta (meerkat), 200 nucleotides. Its record names the gene U2. It matches the Rfam family "U2 spliceosomal RNA". Rfam says of the family: U2 is a small nuclear RNA (snRNA) component of the spliceosome (involved in pre-mRNA splicing). Complementary binding between U2 snRNA (in an area lying towards the 5' end but 3' to hairpin I) and the branchpoint sequence (BPS) of the intron results the bulging out of an unpaired adenosine, on the BPS, which initiates a nucleophilic attack at the intronic 5' splice site, thus starting the first of two transesterification reactions that mediate splicing. The record is from Ensembl. NCBI's taxonomy places the organism in Eukaryota, Metazoa, Chordata, Mammalia, Carnivora, Herpestidae.
AUCGCUUCUCAGGCUUUUGACUAAUACCAAGCCUUUUGACCAAUAUCAGUAUCUGUUUUUAUCAGCUUAAUAUCAGAUAAGUCCUCUAUCUGAGGACAAUAUAUUAAUAGUUUUUUGGAGCUAGAAGAUGCAUUAGGAGCUUGGUCUGUCCACUGCAGGCAUCCACCUGGUAUUGCAAUACCAGAAUCGAUGCACCCCUU